RNAcentral lists this ribosomal RNA (546 nucleotides) under uncultured bacterium. RNAcentral describes it as "bacterial SSU rRNA". It matches the Rfam family "Bacterial small subunit ribosomal RNA", at positions 355 to 895 of the family's 1533-position model. The record is from RNAcentral.
UGGGGAAUAUUGGACAAUGGGGGGAACCCUGACGCAGCCAUGCCGCGUGAAUGAAGAAGGCCUUAGGGUUGUAAAGUUCUUUCGGUAUUGAGGAAGGUUGAUGUGUUAAUAGCACAUCAAAUUGACGUUAAAUACAGAAGAAGCACCGGCUAACUCCGUGCCAGCAGCCGCGGUAAUACGGAGGGUGCGAGCGUUAAUCGGAAUAACUGGGCGCAAAGGGCACGCAGGCGGUUAUUUAAGUGAGGUGUGAAAGCCCUGGGCUUAACCUAGGAAUUGCAUUUCAGACUGGGUAACUAGAGUACUUUAGGGAGGGGUAGAAUUCCACGUGUAGCGGUGAAAUGCGUAGAGAUGUGGAGGAAUACCGAAGGCGAAGGCAGCCCCUUGGGAAUGUACUGACGCUCAUGUGCGAAAGCGUGGGGAGCAAACAGGAUUAGAUACCCUGGUAGUCCACGCUGUAAACGCUGUCGAUUUGGGGGUUGGGGUUUAACUCUGGCGCCCGUAGCUAACGUGAUAAAUCGACCGCCUGGGGAGUACGGCCGCAAGGUU